AUGGACGAGCUCGCCGGCGGCCGCCGCCGCCAUGCCGAUUCGCCGCCUCUCCCGGACGACAUGCUCGCGGAGAUCCUCCUCCUCCUCCCGCCGGAGCCCAUCCACCUCUUCCGCACCUCCUUCGUCUCCAAGCGCUGGCGCGGCCUCGUCCACGACGCUCGAUUCCUCCGCCGCUUCCGCGAGUUCCACGGCGGGACGCCUCCGAUGCUCGGCUUCUUCAACAACCACCCGCGGUCUCCCCUCUUCGUCCCCACCUCCGGCGGCUUCGCGGCCUCCACCGCGGCCAAGAUGUCCCACGACGACUGGUGGGCCCUCCACUGCCGACACGGUCACGCUCUCCUCCAGAACCGCCGCACCGGGGCGAUCCUCGUCUGGGACCUCGUGACCGGCGACCAGCGCCACCUGCCGCUCCCCACGCGGGCCCAAGAGUGGUCGUGCAACGGCGCGGUCCUCUGCGCGGCCGGCCACGCCGACCACGGCGACUGCCGUUCGUGCCCGUUCCUCGUGGCAUAUGUGUUCAGUCGGGAGCGUAAUUCCGUCACCUCUGCCUGCACCUACUCGUCCGAGACCGGCGUCUGGAGUGAGCUCACCUCCAUCGUCCUACCAUUUGCAUCUGUUGAUGUGAAACCGAUGGCUCUGGUUGGGAACACGCUCUACUGCUUGCUGGAUAACUAUAACAUCCUUGAGUUUGAUUUGGAUAACCAUAGGUUGGGUCUAGCUCAGAAGUUCCCACGCGACGCUAUUGGUAGCUAUCACGAUCAUAUUGUCAUCAUGCCGACCGAGGAUGGACGGCUUGGUUUGGCCGGAGUUGAAGGACUCAAUCUCCAUCUGUGGUCACUGAUGGCAAGCAUUGACGGGCUCGUAACAUGGACACAUCAAAGGGUCAUUGAUCUUGAGAAUUUUCUUGCGCCAGAAGUGGUGGCGGCCACAUUUAACUUUUGGGUGGAGCCAAUUGGAUUUGCUGAAGAUGCUGGGGUGAUCUUCAUUUAUGUGCACCCUAGCGUCUAUAUGAUCCAUCUCAAGUCCAUGCAGAUCGAGGAGGUGCCAGAGAAAGGGAACUACAGCAGCAUACUUCCUUACACAAGUUUCUAUGCUCCAGGAAUUACCGCUGGUGGUGGAGACGAUCAAGCUGAACUGUUAAACAGAUGCUGA
RNAcentral lists this ribosomal RNA (1152 nucleotides) under Triticum aestivum (bread wheat). Its description in RNAcentral is "partial small subunit ribosomal RNA". Lineage: Eukaryota; Viridiplantae; Streptophyta; Magnoliopsida; Poales; Poaceae. The record is from RNAcentral.